This is a long non-coding RNA of Talpa occidentalis (Iberian mole), 1173 nucleotides long. RefSeq lists it as uncharacterized. The transcript is spliced from 3 exons. The record is from RefSeq and is a predicted model, not a curated record. Lineage: Eukaryota; Metazoa; Chordata; Mammalia; Eulipotyphla; Talpidae.
CAACAACAUCAUAACUGUCAGAGCAAUUUUCCACCUCAGCAGUUUAACACCUGAACUGUUGUGAGCUCCUUUCUCUUCCCUCCCUCCUCCCUGCUCCUGCUCCCUCUCUCUCCGUCUCGCUGCACUGAAGUCAGUCUGGCUCACAGCCAUCUUCUCCAGAAUCAGUGGCAAACAGUGUUUGCCCCCAAGAGCCAAGGGGCUACGGAAUUAAUCAGCACACAGAGUCUUCAGAGAAGACAGGAAAGGAAAAGCCCACAGACUCAAAUAUCCAAUCUAGCAUCUGUCAACAUCUGGGUUGUAAAUAAUCCAGGGAUUUUAAAAGGAUUCCAAUGUUAGACUGCCUCCAACUCCCUGGCAUAAAGAUGCGGUUAUUAAUUUUUAUUUACUGGGAUCAUAUUUAUUUUCCUAGAAUAUGAGGCAAAGUGCUGGGGGGAUGUGAGAAACAGACACCUCUAAAAUGUUACCUCUCUGUUGGGAAUCUGCCAGAAAAAGACACACAAUUGGAGUGAUGGUUAAAAUCGGAACAACUGGUGGGGCUGAGGAACUGACCAAUUGCCCUCCCUCCUGUAUGCCUCUAAGUCGAAGGAUCUUGAUGUGGUCUCAGUGGGGGCAAAGGACCUAAAGAGACACCUUUCCAAAGAAGACAUCUAAAUGGCCAACAGCCACAUGAGAAGAAACUCAACAUCACUAAUUAUCAGGGAAAUGCAAAUCAAAACCACAAUGAGAUAUCUAUCUCCUCACACCUGGCAGGCUGGCCAUCAUCAAAUAGGCAAAAAAUAACAAGUGUUGAUGAGGAUAUGGAGAAAAAGGAGCACUGUUGAUUGAAUGUAAAUUGGGACUGCCACUACAGAAAACAGUUAUCUAUAUGAAAACAUUAUUUUUUUUCUUCAAAACUUUAAAAGUAGAACUGCCAUACGAUCCAGCAAUCUUAUUUCUUGGUAUAACCUGGAGGAGUAAAACCACCAUCUUGAAGAGCAAGGAGCUCCAUGCAUCUGCAAGAACCUGCCUGAAAUACUCCAGCCCACUGGAUGCAGAGCCUCUACUUAAAAAUAUCCAGUGAUGGGGAACUCACUACUUCCAGGGGCAGGUCCAUCCCUCCACUGUCAAGGAGUGAGGACAAUGUUGUACAAGGCAUGGGGCUCUGGAGAGCAUCGGCUGAGUGAUGGGGGCACA